This 31-nucleotide non-coding RNA is filed under the name Mus musculus (house mouse). The record is from RNAcentral. Lineage: Eukaryota; Metazoa; Chordata; Mammalia; Rodentia; Muridae.
UGUCUGCCUUCCUCUCAUCCUGUGCCCAAUU